GUGCUUGCUUCGGCAGCACAUACACUAAAAUUGGAGUGAUACAGAGAAGAUUAGCAUGGCCCCUGCGUGAGGAUGACAUGCAAAUUCAUGAAGCGUUCCAUAUUUUU
Molecule: small nuclear RNA, 107 nt
Organism: Otolemur garnettii (small-eared galago)
Lineage: Eukaryota; Metazoa; Chordata; Mammalia; Primates; Galagidae
Source: Ensembl